This 497-nucleotide ribosomal RNA is filed under the name uncultured bacterium. Its description in RNAcentral is "partial 16S ribosomal RNA". It matches the Rfam family "Bacterial small subunit ribosomal RNA", at positions 28 to 507 of the family's 1533-position model. The record is from RNAcentral.
GACGAACGCUGGCGGCGUGCCUAAUACAUGCAAGUUGAGCGAUGAAGAUUGGUGCUUGCACCAAUUUGCAGAGCAGCGAACGGGUGAGUAACGCGUGGGGAAUCUGCCUUUGAGCGGGGGACAACAUUUGGAAACGAAUGCUAAUACCGCAUAACAACUUUAAACAUAAGUUUUAAGUUUGAAAGAUGCAAUUGCAUCACUCAAAGAUGAUCCCGCGUUGUAUUAGCUAGUUGGUGAGGUAAAGGCUCACCAAGGCGAUGAUACAUAGCCGACCUGAGAGGGUGGUCGGCCCCCUUGGGACUGGGACCCGGCCCAAACUCCUACGGGAGGCAGCAGUAGGGGAUCUUCGGCAAUGGACGAAAGUCUGACCGAGCCACGCCGCGUGAGUGAAGAAGGUUUUCGGGUCGUAAAACUCUGUUGGUAGAGAAGAACGUUGGUGAGAGUGGAAAGCUCAUCAAGUGACGGUAACUACCCAGAAAGGGACGGCUAACUACGUG